CUUGGCUGGAACAGAGGCAGGACUCAGACGUUUCUGGCGAGUGGAAUCAGGCUUCAUAUCCUGAAUUCUCCACGUGAAUUACUUUUUUUUUUUCCCCAACCCCACUUUCUGUAAGAACAGCCUAUUUCUAAAAGCUAGUUCACCAGGCCCAGCUCCUUGUCUCUGGAGCCCACACCUGUCAUAGCCAAAGCCACAGUAGAUGAAUGCUCAGGACACUACUGUUCCCAGGAGGGCACUGCUUGCCAAGGUUUACUGCUCUAAGAAUGUUCUUGGGCUUCAGUCUGGUUCCAUCAGGCCCAGAGAAAACAGCAGCUGUAAAGGCCUGGAGACAAGAAUGACCUCAGGAGUUGGAGAAACAGAAAAGAUGGCAGUUUUACUGGAAUUUAGUGAGUAAAGAGGCAAGUGGAAGGACUUAGAAUUAAAGAAGUGAUCAGGGGGCUAGCCAGAUCAGACAGGCUAGUAGUUUAAACCCUGUCAGAC
RNAcentral lists this long non-coding RNA (480 nucleotides) under Homo sapiens (human). Its description in RNAcentral is "HSALNT0368759". Lineage: Eukaryota; Metazoa; Chordata; Mammalia; Primates; Hominidae. The record is from RNAcentral.